RNAcentral lists this unclassified non-coding RNA (357 nucleotides) under uncultured fungus. RNAcentral's name for it is "partial contains 5.8S ribosomal RNA and internal transcribed spacer 2". The stretch from base 1 to 134 matches the Rfam family "5.8S ribosomal RNA", at positions 22 to 154 of the family's 154-position model. The record is from RNAcentral. Lineage: Eukaryota; Fungi.
UGGUUCUGGCAUCGAUGAAGAACGCAGCGAAAUGCGAUAAGUAAUGCGAAUUGCAGAAUUCCAGUGAGUCAUCGAAUCUUUGAACGCACAUUGCGCCCUUUGGUAUUCCGAAGGGCAUGCCUGUUCGAGCGUCAUUAUCACCCCUCAAGCCCCGUGCUUGGUGUUGGACGGCUGGCCGAGGCUCCCCUCGGCCCCUCCUAAAGUCAAUGACGGCGGCCUGUGGUUCCCCCGGUACACUGAGCUUUUUUACCGAGCACGUACUGGACGAGGGCGCCCGGGUCACGGUCUUCUCCUCUUCCGUGAGGAAAAAUGUUUUCUUUUAAGGUUGACCUCGGAUCAGGUAGGAAUACGCGCUGA